UGAGUAGGACAGAUGGUCGCUGCCGUGGCUGACACGGGAGAGGAAAGUCCGGGCUUCACAGGGCAGGGUGCCAGAUAACGUCUGGCGGGGGCGACCCCAGGGAAAGUGCAACAGAAAUAAACCGCAUGGCGAAAGCCGUGUAAGGGUGGAAAGGCAGUGUAAGAGACUACCGCCUUGCUGGUAACAGGAAGGGCACAUGCAAACCCCAUCUGAAGCAAGGCCAAACAGGAGGCAUAAGGCGGCCCGUCUGCCUCCGGGUAGGCCGCUCGAGCCGUCCGGUGACGGACGGCCUAGAUAGAUGACCAUCCGCGCGAUGCGUGACAGAACCCGGCUUAUCGUCCUGCUCAAAGG
This 351-nucleotide RNase P RNA is filed under the name Lachnospiraceae bacterium. Its description in RNAcentral is "RNase P RNA component class A". It matches the Rfam family "Bacterial RNase P class A". From Rfam's summary of the family: Ribonuclease P (RNase P) is a ubiquitous endoribonuclease, found in archaea, bacteria and eukarya as well as chloroplasts and mitochondria. Its best characterised activity is the generation of mature 5'-ends of tRNAs by cleaving the 5'-leader elements of precursor-tRNAs. The record is from RNAcentral. RNAcentral also lists the same sequence under 1 other name. Lineage: Bacteria; Bacillati; Bacillota; Clostridia; Lachnospirales; Lachnospiraceae.